This 253-nucleotide ribosomal RNA is filed under the name uncultured bacterium. RNAcentral's name for it is "partial 16S ribosomal RNA". It matches the Rfam family "Bacterial small subunit ribosomal RNA", at positions 524 to 776 of the family's 1533-position model. The record is from RNAcentral.
GACGUAGGGCGCGAGCGUUGUCCGGAUUUAUUGGGCGUAAACAGCCCGUAGGCGGCUUGUCGCGUCGACCGUGAAAACUUGGGGCUCAACCCCAAGCCUGCGGUCGAUACGGGCAGGCUAGAGUUCGGUAGGGGAGACUGGAAUUCCUGGUGUAGCGGUGAAAUGCGCAGAUAUCAGGAGGAACACCGGUGGCGAAGGCGGUUCUCUGGGCAUUACCUGACGCUGAGGAGCGAAAGUGUGGGGAGCGAACAGG